Molecule: ribosomal RNA, 439 nt
Filed under: Anaplasma ovis
Lineage: Bacteria; Pseudomonadati; Pseudomonadota; Alphaproteobacteria; Rickettsiales; Anaplasmataceae
Description: bacterial SSU rRNA
Rfam family: Bacterial small subunit ribosomal RNA
Source: RNAcentral
AAUUCAGAAGUUGAUCAUGGUUCAGAACGAACGCUGGCGGCAAGCUUAACACAUGCAAGUCGAACGGACCGUACGCGCAGCUUGCUGCGUGUAUGGUUAGUGGCAGACGGGUGAGUAAUGCAUAGGAAUCUGCCUAGUAGUAUAGGAUAGCCACUAGAAAUGGUGGGUAAUACUGUAUAAUCCCUGCGGGGGAAAGAUUUAUCGCUACUAGAUGAGCCUAUGUCAGAUUAGCUAGUUGGUGGGGUAAUGGCCCACCAAGGCUGUGAUCUGUAGCUGGUCUGAGAGGAUGAUCAGCCACACUGGAACUGAGACACGGUCCAGACUCCUACGGGAGGCAGCAGUGGGGAAUAUUGGACAAUGGGCGCAAGCCUGAUCCAGCUAUGCCGCGUGAGUGAGGAAAGCCUUAGGGUUGUAAAACUCGUUCAGUAGGGAAGAUAAU